RNAcentral lists this ribosomal RNA (497 nucleotides) under uncultured bacterium. Its description in RNAcentral is "partial 16S ribosomal RNA". It matches the Rfam family "Bacterial small subunit ribosomal RNA", at positions 28 to 507 of the family's 1533-position model. The record is from RNAcentral.
GAUGAACGCUGGCGGCGUGCCUAAUACAUGCAAGUCGAGCGAACAGACGAGGAUCUUGCUCCUCUGCCGUUAGCGGCGGACGGGUGAGUAACACGUGGAUAACCUACCUAUACGACUGGAAUAACUUCGGGAAACCGGAGCUAAUACCGUAUAAUAUAUUGAACCUCAUGGUUCAAUAGUGAAAGACGGUUUUGCUGUCACUUAUAGAUGGAUCCGCGCCGCAUUAGCUAGUUGGGAAGGUAACGGCUUACCAAGGCGACGAUGCGUAGCCGACCUGAGAGGCUGAUCGGCCACACUGGAAUUGAGCCACGAUCCAGACUCCUACGGGAGGCAGCAGUAGGGAAUCUUCCGCAAAGGGCGAAAUCCUAACGGUGCAACGCCGCGUGAGUGAUGAAGGUCUUCGGAUCGGGAAACUCUCUUAUUAGGGAAGAAGCAAUGUGUGAGUAACUAUGCACGUCUUGAAGGUACCUAAUGAAAAAGCCACGGCUAACUACGUG